This 425-nucleotide ribosomal RNA is filed under the name uncultured bacterium. Its description in RNAcentral is "partial 16S ribosomal RNA". It matches the Rfam family "Bacterial small subunit ribosomal RNA", at positions 354 to 796 of the family's 1533-position model. The record is from RNAcentral.
GUGGGGAAUCUUGCGCAAUGGGCGAAAGCCUGACGCAGCCAUGCCGCGUGAAUGAUGAAGGUCUUAGGAUUGUAAAAUUCUUUCACCGGGGACGAUAAUGACGGUACCCGGAGAAGAAGCUCCGGCUAACUUCGUGCCAGCAGCCGCGGUAAUACAAAGGGGGCUAGCGUUGCUCGGAAUUACUGGGCGUAAAGGGCGCGUAGGCGGAUAGUUUAGUCAGAGGUGAAAGCCCAGGGCUCAACCUUGGAAUUGCCUUUGAUACUGGCUAUCUUGAGUAUGGAAGAGGUAUGUGGAACUCCGAGUGUAGAGGUGAAAUUCGUAGAUAUUCGGAAGAACACCAGUGGCGAAGGCGACAUACUGGUCCAUUACUGACGCUGAGGCUCGAAAGCGUGGGGAGCAAACAGGAUUAGAUACCCCAGUAGUCC